This 308-nucleotide long non-coding RNA is filed under the name Lathyrus oleraceus (garden pea). Its description in RNAcentral is "Pisum sativum (pea) long non-coding RNA (PSAT_LNC005731)". Lineage: Eukaryota; Viridiplantae; Streptophyta; Magnoliopsida; Fabales; Fabaceae. The record is from RNAcentral.
ACAGUACAAAAUAAAAAAAAGAGAAAUAAAUUGAAUGGGAAAACCCAACGUCUCUCUCCUUCCCACUCAUUCCUCACCACACUCAGAAAAGACAAAAAAAAAAAAAGGAAAAUAAAGAUCCUCACAAUCGGUCUCUCGUACAAAAACCCACGUUAACCUCACACUCCCGGAGACUGUUCAUUCAUCCCCUCCCACUCUUAAUACCUCAGUCUCUAAAAAAAAAAUUAUUCAUCGCCUCUCUCAACCCUUCACUAUUCAUCGUCAUCUCCGCCUCUUCAACAACCCUCAAAAAUCCCUUCAUCUUCUUU